Triticum aestivum (bread wheat) is the source of this 1409-nucleotide long non-coding RNA. RefSeq lists it as uncharacterized. The record is from RefSeq and is a predicted model, not a curated record. Lineage: Eukaryota; Viridiplantae; Streptophyta; Magnoliopsida; Poales; Poaceae. The transcript is spliced from 4 exons.
GGUUUCUUUCAAGAAUCAUGAGAGAACAUUCAAGGAGUGGAUUAUUUGGAAAUUAGAACCUUCAGAUUUCUUAGAAGUGAGGUUACUUUCCAACUAGAAUUAUAGGCAAGCAUUGGUCUUUAAUUUGGAAGUGAUUAUCAUGUCUAAGAAGGGAGAUCAACCCGGUUUGGUGUACAUGAUGUAUGAUCCCUUUUUUAUUGAUUUCUUAUACUAUGUUGACAUGACUUAUUUCACUCAAUUUUCUGGUUUUUUUACACCAUACUUCAUGCGGUAGCCAUACAAGAUCAUUUAUUAUACCAUUGUACUAGCAUAUUACAAAAUCAUUAUGCUAGAUAUAGAUGGAUUAACAUGAAGAUAAUUUCUUUUGUUCUGUUUUUUCACUAGACAUAGAUGCUAUUUAUGCUUCUUUAGCAGUGACAUCAUAGUCAACUUGCAUUUUCUGUCUUUUAGCUACACUACCAAAUCCAGCAACUUUGAUUUGUUCGUACCAUUAGGCUGUAAGGAAAUAUUACUAUAUGUAACAUGUUUUUUUCUUAAGCUACUGUUGUUGCUUCUCAUGUCCGAAAUAUAUUUCUUGAUGCAGCUUCACUCAGAUUUAUGUGAAUAUAAGCGUAAGAGGUCUAGUGGCAAUGCUACAAAAUCAUUGCAGGCGUGAGUAUCCAGAUUGCACUACUGCUGGCCGUUUCUUGCCAUUGCCUACAACAGGCUUCUGACAAAGCCAAGUCAUGGCCUCAUUAGGCCCCUUUUUUCAGCCAAACUGAAAGCACUUCAUGUUAGCUUGUAUUCGCUUUUGGAUUAACUACAAUGCAUUGUACCCAUCCAUGCUCCAGGGAUAUAAUAACAUUGUAGAUAGACGGAGACUGAAUCAGUUCACACUACUUUGAUGUCUAUCGAGCCAAUGGGACAACAAAGUCCUUGCAGAAAAGAAGAACCGGAAGCAGGUUAUCUAUCUUCACGAGCAAGUCGGCGUCUGUAAACCUUCACCAGAGCCAUUCCAGCUCUUUCAGAGCCACAAGGUGAGCCGGAAGUCAGUGCAAGGAAGUUGAGGAACCAAGACCCCAACGGCGCGGAGCAGUUUGCUGUCGAGAGGACUAGGGCUGCCAUCAGGGACCUCUAGACCAAGCUCAACAUCUCCCUCGUGCCUCCAUCAACACCGUGUCUUGGAGGGUCGUCGCCGUCCGCGACGACGAGCUACUGCCGCAGCUUUGUCAGCCGCACGGUUAGAGGGAGGCAUCAAGGGCCCGCCACCGCUGUCGGGGCCGACGUGCGUGUAAUUUCUAUUAAUGUAUCCUAUGUUGCCAAACAACAACAUGCUCCUGUCAAUGCUAUAUCGUUGUGGGUAUGGCAUUUCAGUUUCUUCCUCAGGUGAUAUUCCAAUAUAAUAAGUCCCAUCAAGAAUUGCAUGUACA